UUUUCCACGCACGACCCGGCCGCACCGUUCUCCACCUCCGGCCAAAACUUAGGGUUCCAUCGACCCAUUUCCGGCCCAGAACGACCCAACUCCGUCGUUGUUCCAGUUCCGGCGGCGACCAUUCGACCAUUCGUUCUCCACCGUCGUUCUCCACCUCCGGCCAAAACUUAGGGUUCCGGCGACCCAUUUCCGGCCCAGAACGACCCGCCACCGCCGUUCUCAACGCACGACCCGGCACCAUCGUUCUCAACGCACGACCCAACUCCGUCGUUCUUCCAGUUCCAGCGGCGACCAGCUAAACCAUUCGUUCUCCACCUCCGGCGACCCAUUUCCGGCUCUGGCACAAGUAAAUGUCUACAACAAGUGAUUUGUCAAGCGGUCAUCCGUUAUGUAAGUGUGGAAUUCCUGCACGUCUAAGGUACUCUUGGACCACAUCCAAUCCCGCUAAAAAGUGGUAUGGAUGUAAUAACUACAAGAAAGCCGGUGAUUGUGAUUUUUUUGAAUGGGCUGAUAAGAAGAUGUCUGCAUACGAGAAGGGAUUAGCGCAAUAUCUGAAAGAGAUGGAGGAGAGAAGACAAGCUGACAAUGACAAAGUUGAGGAAUUAAUUGAAAAAAAAUGCAAGGAACAAUUAGUGCAACAUUUGAAAGAAAUGGAGGAGAAAGUUGAGGAAUUGAUUGAAAAAAAAUGUAAGGAACAAUUAGCGCAACGUAACGAGAAGAUGUUUCGUGUUUUGUUGUUAGUUGUCAUUUUGCUGUUAGCCUUUUAUUUUUGUAGUUAUAGUGAACCUAGACAUACUAACUUGAUGUUAAAAUGAAAUUAUGAAAACAAUUUAGUUGUAAGAGACUUUUUUCUGUUUGUAUGAAUAUCCUAAAUGUAUGUUAAACUUAAUUGUUAAUGGUAAUGAAUGGUUGGUU
Long non-coding RNA from Alnus glutinosa, 915 nucleotides. RefSeq lists it as uncharacterized. The record is from RefSeq and is a predicted model, not a curated record. Lineage: Eukaryota; Viridiplantae; Streptophyta; Magnoliopsida; Fagales; Betulaceae. The transcript is spliced from 3 exons.